UGGCUCAGACGGUAAAGCAUCUGCCUACAAUGCAGGAGACCAGGGUUCAAUCCCUG
This 56-nucleotide transfer RNA is filed under the name Bos indicus (zebu cattle). It matches the Rfam family "tRNA", at positions 8 to 63 of the family's 71-position model. From Rfam's summary of the family: Transfer RNA (tRNA) molecules are approximately 80 nucleotides in length. The record is from Rfam by way of RNAcentral. Lineage: Eukaryota; Metazoa; Chordata; Mammalia; Artiodactyla; Bovidae. RNAcentral also lists the same sequence under 2 other names.